This 515-nucleotide ribosomal RNA is filed under the name uncultured bacterium. RNAcentral's name for it is "partial 16S ribosomal RNA". It matches the Rfam family "Bacterial small subunit ribosomal RNA", at positions 28 to 523 of the family's 1533-position model. The record is from RNAcentral.
GAUGAACGCUGGCGGCGUGCCUAAUACAUGCAAGUCGAGCGAAUGGAUUAAGAGCUUGCUCUUAUGAAGUUAGCGGCGGACGGGUGAGUAACACGUGGGUAACCUGCCCAUAAGACUGGGAUAACUCCGGGAAACCGGGGCUAAUACCGGAUAAUAUUUUGAACUGCAUGGUUCGAAAUUGAAAGGCGGCUUCGGCUGUCACUUAUGGAUGGACCCGCGUCGCAUUAGCUAGUUGGUGAGGUAACGGCUCACCAAGGCAACGAUGCGUAGCCGAACUGAGAGGGGGAUCGGCCACACUGGGACUGAGACACGGCCCAGACUCCUACGGGAGGCAGCAGUAGGGAAUCUUCCGCAAUGGACGAAAGUCUGACGGAGCAACGCCGCGUGAGUGAUGAAGGCUUUCGGGUCGUAAAACUCUGUUGUUAGGGAAGAACAAGUGCUAGUUGAAUAAGCUGGCACCUUGACGGUACCUAACCAGAAAGCCACGGCUAACUACGUGCCAGCAGCCGCCGUAA